RNAcentral lists this ribosomal RNA (485 nucleotides) under uncultured bacterium. Its description in RNAcentral is "partial 16S ribosomal RNA". It matches the Rfam family "Bacterial small subunit ribosomal RNA", at positions 29 to 523 of the family's 1533-position model. The record is from RNAcentral.
AGUGAACGCUGGCGGCGUGCUUAACACAUGCAAGUCGAACGAGAACGGAUUAUAGCUUGCUAUAAUUGUCAGCUAAGUGGCGCACGGGUGAGUAAUGUAUAGAUAACCUGCCCUCUAGAAAGGAAUAACAGUUGGAUACGACUGCUAAUGCCCUAUAUGCCUUUAAUACAUAAGUAUGCAAGGGAAACGCUGUAGUGCUAGAGGAUGGGUCUGUAUGGUAUCAGCUAGUUGGUGAGGUAAUGGCUCACCAAGGCUAUGACGCCUAACUGGUUUGGGAGGAUGAUCAGUCACACUGGAACUGAGACACGGUCCAGACUCCUACGGGAGGCAGCAGUGGGGAAUAUUGCACAAUGGACGAAAGUCUGAUGCAGCAACGCCGCGUGGAGGAUGACACAUUUCGGUGCGUAAACUCCUUUUAUAUAGGAAGACAAUGACGGUACUAUAUGAAUAAGCACCGGCUAACUCCGUGCCAGCCGCCGCCGUAA